GAAAAGGACAGAGAACAUGUGAGCGAAUACGAACAACAAACGUUUGAGACGAGAGAGUUUGGUCGGAAUUUUGUAUUUUAUUUUACUUUGUUCUUAUUUAUUAUAUCAUUUUUUACUUGUGUGUGAGUGUGUGCCGAGUUACGGGUCGGUACAUUUGGUGCCGUGACCAAGAUUUUUACGAAGAAAAACGAGCGAAAUCAACAACGAAGUACGUAUAUAUUUUGUGAUAUUUUGGCGCCAAUAUUUGUUUAUCGUAUUAAAUCUCGAAUUCAGUGAUACUAUUGUGGAAAAAUAUAACGGACAUGAUGGGAGACGAAAGCAACGAACAAGUAGAGGGUUUAGAAGACACCGAGCGUAC
Paramuricea clavata is the source of this 358-nucleotide non-coding RNA. Lineage: Eukaryota; Metazoa; Cnidaria; Anthozoa; Malacalcyonacea; Plexauridae. The record is from the annotation of a GenBank genome assembly.